RNAcentral lists this ribosomal RNA (253 nucleotides) under uncultured Bacteroidales bacterium. RNAcentral's name for it is "partial 16S ribosomal RNA". It matches the Rfam family "Bacterial small subunit ribosomal RNA", at positions 524 to 776 of the family's 1533-position model. Lineage: Bacteria; Pseudomonadati; Bacteroidota; Bacteroidia; Bacteroidales. The record is from RNAcentral.
UACGGGGGAUGCAAGCGUUAUCCGGAUUUAUUGGGUUUAAAGGGUGCGUAGGCGGCUUGGUAAGUCAGCGGUGAAAUUUAGGGGCUCAACCUCUACCGUGCCGUUGAUACUGCCGGGCUAGAAUGCGGAUGCCGUGGGAGGAAUGUGUGGUGUAGCGGUGAAAUGCAUAGAUAUCACACAGAACACCGAUUGCGAAGGCAUCUCACGAAUCCGCAAUUGACGCUGAGGCACGAAAGCGUGGGGAUCAAACAGG